UAACGGCCCACCAAGCCUUCGAUGGAUAGGGGUUCUGAGAGGAAGGUCCCCCCACAUUGGAACUGAGACACGGUCCAAACUCCUACGGGAGGCAGCAUG
RNAcentral lists this ribosomal RNA (99 nucleotides) under uncultured bacterium. Its description in RNAcentral is "partial 16S ribosomal RNA". It matches the Rfam family "Bacterial small subunit ribosomal RNA", at positions 258 to 353 of the family's 1533-position model. The record is from RNAcentral.